RNAcentral lists this ribosomal RNA (1846 nucleotides) under Escherichia coli. RNAcentral's name for it is "bacterial LSU rRNA". It matches the Rfam family "Bacterial large subunit ribosomal RNA", at positions 1098 to 2925 of the family's 2925-position model. Lineage: Bacteria; Pseudomonadati; Pseudomonadota; Gammaproteobacteria; Enterobacterales; Enterobacteriaceae. The record is from RNAcentral.
AUGUUGGCUUAGAAGCAGCCAUCAUUUAAAGAAAGCGUAAUAGCUCACUGGUCGAGUCGGCCUGCGCGGAAGAUGUAACGGGGCUAAACCAUGCACCGAAGCUGCGGCAGCGACGCUUAUGCGUUGUUGGGUAGGGGAGCGUUCUGUAAGCCUGCGAAGGUGUGCUGUGAGGCAUGCUGGAGGUAUCAGAAGUGCGAAUGCUGACAUAAGUAACGAUAAAGCGGGUGAAAAGCCCGCUCGCCGGAAGACCAAGGGUUCCUGUCCAACGUUAAUCGGGGCAGGGUGAGUCGACCCCUAAGGCGAGGCCGAAAGGCGUAGUCGAUGGGAAACAGGUUAAUAUUCCUGUACUUGGUGUUACUGCGAAGGGGGGACGGAGAAGGCUAUGUUGGCCGGGCGACGGUUGUCCCGGUUUAAGCGUGUAGGCUGGUUUUCCAGGCAAAUCCGGAAAAUCAAGGCUGAGGCGUGAUGACGAGGCACUACGGUGCUGAAGCAACAAAUGCCAUGCUUCCAGGAAAAGCCUCUAAGCAUCAGGUAACAUCAAAUCGUACCCCAAACCGACACAGGUGGUCAGGUAGAGAAUACCAAGGCGCUUGAGAGAACUCGGGUGAAGGAACUAGGCAAAAUGGUGCCGUAACUUCGGGAGAAGGCACGCUGAUAUGUAGGUGAAGCGACUUGCUCGUGGAGCUGAAAUCAGUCGAAGAUACCAGCUGGCUGCAACUGUUUAUUAAAAACACAGCACUGUGCAAACACGAAAGUGGACGUAUACGGUGUGACGCCUGCCCGGUGCCGGAAGGUUAAUUGAUGGGGUCAGCGCAAGCGAAGCUCUUGAUCGAAGCCCCGGUAAACGGCGGCCGUAACUAUAACGGUCCUAAGGUAGCGAAAUUCCUUGUCGGGUAAGUUCCGACCUGCACGAAUGGCGUAAUGAUGGCCAGGCUGUCUCCACCCGAGACUCAGUGAAAUUGAACUCGCUGUGAAGAUGCAGUGUACCCGCGGCAAGACGGAAAGACCCCGUGAACCUUUACUAUAGCUUGACACUGAACAUUGAGCCUUGAUGUGUAGGAUAGGUGGGAGGCUUUGAAGUGUGGACGCCAGUCUGCAUGGAGCCGACCUUGAAAUACCACCCUUUAAUGUUUGAUGUUCUAACGUUGACCCGUAAUCCGGGUUGCGGACAGUGUCUGGUGGGUAGUUUGACUGGGGCGGUCUCCUCCUAAAGAGUAACGGAGGAGCACGAAGGUUGGCUAAUCCUGGUCGGACAUCAGGAGGUUAGUGCAAUGGCAUAAGCCAGCUUGACUGCGAGCGUGACGGCGCGAGCAGGUGCGAAAGCAGGUCAUAGUGAUCCGGUGGUUCUGAAUGGAAGGGCCAUCGCUCAACGGAUAAAAGGUACUCCGGGGAUAACAGGCUGAUACCGCCCAAGAGUUCAUAUCGACGGCGGUGUUUGGCACCUCGAUGUCGGCUCAUCACAUCCUGGGGCUGAAGUAGGUCCCAAGGGUAUGGCUGUUCGCCAUUUAAAGUGGUACGCGAGCUGGGUUUAGAACGUCGUGAGACAGUUCGGUCCCUAUCUGCCGUGGGCGCUGGAGAACUGAGGGGGGCUGCUCCUAGUACGAGAGGACCGGAGUGGACGCAUCACUGGUGUUCGGGUUGUCAUGCCAAUGGCACUGCCCGGUAGCUAAAUGUGGAAGAGAUAAGUGCUGAAAGCAUCUAAGCACGAAACUUGCCCCGAGAUGAGUUCUCCCUGACUCCUUGAGAGUCCUGAAGGAACGUUGAAGACGACGACGUUGAUAGGCCGGGUGUGUAAGCGCAGUGAUGCGUUGAGCUAACCGGUACUAAUGAACCGUGAGGCUUAACC